RNAcentral lists this transfer RNA (72 nucleotides) under Planctomycetia bacterium. RNAcentral's name for it is "tRNA-Lys". It matches the Rfam family "tRNA". From Rfam's summary of the family: Transfer RNA (tRNA) molecules are approximately 80 nucleotides in length. Their secondary structure includes four short double-helical elements and three loops (D, anti-codon, and T loops). Further hydrogen bonds mediate the characteristic L-shaped molecular structure. tRNAs have two regions of fundamental functional importance: the anti-codon, which is responsible for specific mRNA codon recognition, and the 3' end, to which the tRNAs corresponding amino acid is attached (by aminoacyl-tRNA synthetases). tRNAs cope with the degeneracy of the genetic code in two manners: having more than one tRNA (with a specific anti-codon) for a particular amino acid; and 'wobble' base-pairing, i.e. permitting non-standard base-pairing at the 3rd anti-codon position. Lineage: Bacteria; Pseudomonadati; Planctomycetota; Planctomycetia. The record is from RNAcentral.
GGGGUCGUGGCGUAACGGCAGCGUGUCGGUCUUUUAAACCGUAAGGUGAGGGUUCGACUCCCUCCGACCCUA